AUUUCCUAUAGGAAGAACCAUCAUAUUAGAAAACCAACAUCAGACCAGAGACUCCGGUAUUCCCCAUGGUAAGGAAGGUCUGUUGAAACAGAUGUCCCAAGAACAUAUCUGAGAAAAGAAAGUUGAAUGAUAAUACAUCUGUGUUUCUCUAAAAAAAGUGGAUAAAAACUUUUUUAUUCUAGCUCUCCCAGGGAAGGAGAGAAAAUAAAGCUGUUAACCAGAGUGAAUUACUAGGAAUGGAAAAACAGAUUGAGACACUGUAAACAUUCUAAACAAAGUGCUUCUCUGCUUCUAGAACUUCAAACCCUGUGGUAAAUGAGGCACCAUGAUAUGCUGAAUGGAUGCUGCAGUAAAACAGAUUAGAUGAGAAUGAAUUAUUACAAAAACUGCGAUUUAGAGCCAUCAACUGUAAAAAUGAGAAAGUUAAUUAAUUGACGUGAACACAUAUACUCUGCCUAUCACAGCUGUGCACUUUCUUCCUACAUAGCUUUGAUAAAGACCUCUCUUGAAGUGAAAGAACAAUACUGAAGGAAGAAGUUAUUUAAUAUGGGAAACAGACAAAUCUUAUGUAUUCUAUUGAUGGCAUGCAGGGCUAGCCAAAAUUUCGAUUUAGAAAGGAAAUUCACUGUCUGGUCUAGGUGCUGAAAUGACCAAUGACGUGGAGUCACAAGCUGGCAGAUGGUGCUGUGAAUGUAACCCCAAAAAGGAAAACUGGAAGAAGACACAAGGAGAGAAGUAGAACGAGGUUUCCAGAAAACACAUGCCAUUAAAUUAACUUCUAUUCCCACUUGCCA
Gallus gallus (chicken) is the source of this 794-nucleotide long non-coding RNA. RefSeq lists it as uncharacterized. The transcript is spliced from 2 exons. The record is from RefSeq and is a predicted model, not a curated record. Lineage: Eukaryota; Metazoa; Chordata; Aves; Galliformes; Phasianidae.